GAUCCCCUGAAGUGUUUGCCAGCCGGUCCAGUCCCCUGAGCCGAUAUCAUCACCCCGGGAAGUUCACGUGAUUGUUGUGUGCAUGUCCGCCCGACGGAAAGCCUGAUACAGCCACUGGGCUUCCCCCUUGAACCGUUGGGUUCAAGGGUUCAGAUCGGCAGCGGCACUUCGGAGGACAC
This 179-nucleotide non-coding RNA is filed under the name Pedobacter sp. Its description in RNAcentral is "6S RNA". It matches the Rfam family "6S / SsrS RNA". From Rfam's summary of the family: E. coli 6S RNA was the first non coding RNA to be sequenced, but its function was unknown until recently. It consists of 184 nucleotides that fold into an extended hairpin structure with a large single-stranded internal bulge. Lineage: Bacteria; Pseudomonadati; Bacteroidota; Sphingobacteriia; Sphingobacteriales; Sphingobacteriaceae. The record is from RNAcentral.